AUAACCCGACCCAUUUUUAUGAUUACACAUAACAUUGUACGUGUUUCCUAAACCUAAUCCCAUUGUCGUCGCAAAAUUAUCUCCUGCACCUGAAAAUUGUUGUCCAUCGCCAUUCAAAGCUAAGUCUUGCAGCUCUUGUGAAUUACUGAUCAUCUAGCAUAGUUUACUCCUACUAUUGACCUUGCCAGCUCUCAAAAUUGAAGGAUUCUUCUGCUCCUGUUGUUUCCUCUUCUUUAACAUCUCUUUGUGGCUGUAGAUGUACUCUCUGGUGUAAGAGUUGAAGAUCCCCUUGAUGUAUUGUUUUGAGAGAGCAUUCAUAGGAAUUAUUUGAAAACUGAGUAAGUACACAUCCAUCAUUUUCCUCCAACCUUCAUUAGUAGCUUCCGCUGCUCUUUGAAAUUUCACUCCCUUUUUGCAAUUGUUGUAGUAAUUAAGCUCCCGAGAAACUCAAAUCCACAUGCAAACCAGGUUUUCUACACUCCAUCAUCUGCGUUGAUCUUCCUCUUUGACCGACCUUUAUCUGUUAUGACUUAAGGGCUAGAUCUAGAACAUUCAAAGCUCAAUUUGUCAUUUGUAUGUAUUGUCCUAUAGGUAUUUGCAAACUUUAAACAGAUUUGCUCCAUUACUCUGCUAAAACUCUUAUUCUGAUAUAUGGACAUUGCAAUUUAUCACUAUUCAGUAUCUUUCUUCCAUGUGAUUGCAAAUGCUGAAAACUUGUGUAAACAAAAUCUCCACUGUCAAUUGCAAAAUUAGUUAGAUAAUCUGCCAAUUGAUUCAUCUCCCCCAGUAUGUGUUAAUAUUGAAAUUGCUUGCUCUGCAUUAGCUUCCAUAUUUGCUCUACUUGAUCUGCAAUGUGCCAAGGACAACUCCAUUCCCUAGUGAGAACUUUCUGCAUCAACAUUGAAUCUGUUUGGAUGAUUAACUUGUUUGUUUGAGUUACAUUAGCAUGAGUAGUUGCCUGUAAGAUAGCUUCAGCCUCUGUUAUCACAUUAGAAGUAUCAUCCAUUCUACCACCUUUUGAAUAAAUUAGGUCCUCAUUCUUAUUCCUUAGACAGAAUGUAUAUGAGUUUAUCCCCAGGUUACCUCUAAAUGCCCCAUCAGUGUUAUAGAUGACCCAUCCAAUUUGAGGAAAGGUCCACACAACCUUUGUAAUCUUUAUUUUUGGUUUCCUCCCUUCAAGAGCUUUAAGGAUAUCUGACUAGCUACUAGGAACUUUGUUCUUGGAUUUCUUACAUGCAGAAGUAAGCUCACAUUCAUGGUAAUAUUAAAGAUUACCUUAUGUAGAGACACACCUUUACUUUCAAACUUCAAGUUGUUUCUUCUCCUCCACAGUUCCUAUGUAAUCAUACUUGGAACUGACUGAUAGUAUGGCUUGAAUUUGCAUUUGACAUCCUUACUCCACCAAGUUAGAAUAGUGUCUCUAAGGGAUAGUCCAUGUAUGAAAAUACCUACACAUGAAGCAAAAUAGGACCAUGUCCCGUUAGCUAAAUUUGAUCUUAGAAACACAUGAGAUAGUGUUUCUUGAUCCGACUGCAAACAGCACCAAUAUUUUGUUGGUCCUUCAACCCUCUAUUUUCUCAUUAAAUAAUCCACCGAGACCUUUCUUUUCCAUAGUAUCCACAUUAAGAAGGUCAUUUUAAAAGGUAAACCCUUCACCCAAAUAUGAUUUUACAAUGCAUUCUUCUCCUAUUUUUGCCUUAUGUAUCCCAUACAAAUUUAACUGAGAAUUUACCAGAGAUUUCUAGCUUUCAAAUUGGAAUGUCCACUCCUCCCUCUUCAAUUCUGGAACUAAUCUUAGCUUGAAUAUAUGUAACAACCUCUUGAGGUAGAAAAUUCAUUAAUAAAUGGUAAUUCCAUUGAGAACCAGCAACCAGCUUCUUUACCUGCAUUCCUAUAUUUCCUUGCCUGAGAAAAAUAUUAAACAAAUCUUUAAUAGCUGUCCAAUUAUCCAACCACACAUUGGCUUGACCUCCUCUGAUCUUCCAUAGGAUUUGAUGAUCACUUGAGAACCAACACCAACUUUUCAAUAGAUUGCAUUAGGAUGUUGUUUCCUGCAAUACUUGUUGUGCAUGAACCUAUUCCACAUUGAAUCUUUAGUUCUGAAAUUCCACCAGAGUUUACAAAGAAGAGACAUGAGACAUCUUGUAAUCUUCUGAAUCCCAAUCCUCCUUCUUCUACUGUAUAGCAUAAUUUACUCCAACUAACCAGUGGCUACUUUUACCUCCAAUGUGCUUGCUCCAAAAGAACUAAGCAAACAUUCUUUGGAUAGCUGAUAGGACAUUAACUGGUGGGUUCAUGACAGAUAAACAAUGAAUGGGUAUGCUUUGUAAAACACUUUUUAUGAGAACAGACCUACCCCCAAAAGAUAAUAAUUUACUCUUCCAUCCUUGCAGCUUACUACUAAUCCUAUGCAUGAUUGACUGAUAAAACUCUUUCUUCUUCCUCAUAUGAAAAAUUGGACACCCUAGAUAAUUGAAAGGAAAUUGCUUUCUUGAUAUACCAGUAGCCACCUCUGCCAAUAUUACAGUGCCCUGAGAAACUCCUUGAUGCAUAUAAAUAGCACUCUUCUCUUUAUUAAUUUUUUACCCCGAGACCUUCUCAUACUAAUCCAAUGUAUCAGUGACCUUUUGCAAAGUAAUCAAAUCAGCUUUGCAUAAAAUGAUCAUAUCAUCAACAAAUCCAAAGUGAUUGACUUUAGGAUUUCCCCUGGGCAUGCCAAAUGGUUUAAAAUCUUUAUUACAAAAAAGAGCCUUAAGAGCUCUUGAAAAUACCUCAGCUGCAAUGAUAAAAAGUAUAGGUGAUAAGGGAUCACCUUGCUUCAAACCCCUUAUAGGCCUGAAAAACCCUUUAGGUUGGCCAUUCAAUAAUAUUGAAUACCAGUUAUUGUCCAACAGUCUAACCACCCUACCAAUUAGUAAUUCACUAAAUCCAACUUUCCUUAGGACUUUAGUGAGAAACAGCCAAUCCACUCUGUCAUAAGCUUUCAUCAUGUCAAACUUAAUGACUAUAUUUAGAACUUUGCCUCUUUUACUGAUGUCAGCUAUGAUCUCCUGCACCACUAAUAUACUCUCUGCAAUACUCCUUCCCUAAACAAAACCUGCUUGUUCUUCAGAGAUAACAUGUGCCAAAACCUUCUUAAGUCUUUCAUGCAAAAUUUUGGAGAAAAUUUUGUCGAUAAAAUUACUUAAAGAGAUAGGUCUCAAGUCAGAAAAUAUAUUAAUUACUAGUUUCUUAUGGAGUAGUACCAAAUUUGUAUGUGUGAUAAAUUUUGGUAACUGAUGUCCACUAAAUAAAUCUAGAACCAUUUGAUACACAUCCUCCUUAAUUAUUUCUCAUGCAUUCUAAAAAAAAUGCCCCUGUCAUGCCAUCUGGUCCAGUUGUGCUGCUUCUAUUUAGACUCAUAACUGUUUCUUUCACCUCUUGCAUGUCAGGUACUUUGUCUAUGUCUAUAUUCUAACUUUCAUUAACAAUAGUAGGGAUAUGUUCAAGCAUCUGAAAAUCAUCGUUAUGAUCUCCUUUAGUAAACUGCUUCUGAUAGAAUUAUUUUGCAGCCCCUGCAAUUAGAUUUGGUUCUUCCACCCAUUCUCCAUCCUCAUUCUAAAUCCUAUUGAGCUUGAGUCUUCUUCAUCUACCUUUAACCACUGUAUGCAAGAAUUUUGUGUUUCUUUCACCAUCUUUAAACGAAUCUAUUCCAGCCUUCUGUCUCCAAGACUUCUCUUCCCUUCCAAGUUGUAAACUUAGGAUAACUUGAGCUUUAAUAACAAUUCCCUAUUUGCAGCAGAUGGAUAUUCUUCAAAUUGUUUUUCUCUAACCUUGAUAACUUCUUCCAAUGUAGCUAUCUCUUGGAAAAUUUUACUAUAACACUCUCUACUCCAUUUAGUUUAAGCAGCCUUCACUCUUUUUAUUUUUUGAUAAAACAAAAUAAAAGGAUUUUCCAUAAUAUCAGUCUUCCAGUUCUCCUGAAUAAUUAUCAAGUAUGAUUCCUCUUUCAACCACAUAUUCAAGAACCUGAACAGUUUAAUGAUAGACUUUUUCUCAAUACUGAAGUUGAUUUUUAAAGGAGUGUGGUCAGAUCCACUCCUUAGUAAGUAUUCAACUUCCAAUACUAGGAAAGUAUGCAGUAACUUCUCAUUGAUCAAAAUUUUGUCAAUCCUUUCAAAUAUGCACUCCUCAUCUGUUCUACCAUUCCACCAAGUAAACUUGCUUCCUUUAAAACCUGGAUCCUCAACAUUACACAAACUUAUACACUGUUAAAAUCUUCAGUUUCAGCAACUUUUACUGGUAAGCCUCUCAAUUUUUCUUCCUGACUAGUUAUCACAUUAAAAUCUCCCCGUAUGAGCCAAAGAUCUUGCAUUUGUUGAGCCAUGUCUUCAAGAGAUUCCCAUAGAGCUAGUCUCUCUCUUUGUGAAUAUUUAGCAUAAAUUAGAGCAACCAUAACUGUGAUUCCAGCUUUCUGAUUCUCUAAUUUUAUUAUUAUUUAUUGUUCUUUAUCUCUAAUAAUAGUACACACUAUAUUGGCUUCCAAAAAAGCCCAUAUCUUACCAGAGAUAUUAGAGAUUGUUGUCUGCAUACCUAAUCUUCUGCUGUAAUCAUCAAUAGUCUUACUAUCUUGAAAAGGUUUCAUUAGUCCCACAAAUGCAAACUGGUACCUUUAAUGCAAUGUAAUAAGUCUAGUAAAUGCAUUUUGUGUGUUGACUGAUCUAAUAUUCUAUAUAAGAGCAUUCAUCCCAACUUAUUCUUCUUGGAGCUCCUUGUAUGUAUUGUACUAGUCUUCCCACCUUUGUGAUUCUUCCUUGGGAUGCCUUGUUUUUCUUUCAACCUAUCAAUUUGUUUAGGUGAUAAGUUGCCAUCAACUCCCAGCCUAUCUAUAGUCUGUUCCAAUUCAUCUUCAUCCAUUAUUGCAUUAUCCUUAUUACUGUACUGUAAUUGUUUUUCAACUUGCACAUCCAAAGGCAUGAUAUCUUCUAAAAUCUCCAUGACUUCUUUUUGAACAUCUGUCUGAAGAACAGCAACCUGCAUAUGACUCUUAUCUGUUGGAGAUUUUAGCAUUAAUGCACUGUGAUCUUCCUUUUCCCUAUUAUCAACUUGCUCUUGCUACCUCUUUUCAACUUGUUCUUGAUUACUUAUAACUAUCUCUAUGUUUUCUUUUGUUUGGUGCUACCAUUAAUUACUAAAGGUAUUAGUAACCCAUUUCUUUAUGCUCUCUAUGAUUUUUUGUUCCUUAUCCACCUUGUCUUGUUGAUCACCUUUAUUAUUCUCCACUUCAUGAUGUUCUUCUUCAAGGGCUUCAAAGGUGUUUAAAGUGGGCAUGUUAUUUACUUCCUCAUUCUGCACUUCUCCCAUUAUGUAGCCAAAUUUGUGUUUUAAUCCCUGUUCUGCCUUAAUGACCAUUGCAUUUUAUACAUCCCCCUCCUCCUCUAUGUAUUGGUCAUCUCUGGUACUUCUUUUACCCUGCCAGUUUCCUGCAUUUCUUUAUCAUCUUUAUUCUUUUCUUCAUCCUCCUUUUCCAUCAAUUCUGGAUGCAUAUUCCAGCAUGAGAUUUUAUCAUGUCCUUGAAGACAAUAUGUUUUGCAGUAUUUUGGUUUAUAAUCAUAAUGAAUAUGUAUCCAUUUGAAUUUUAUUUCCCUUGUAACAUCAUCUUCUUCAUUGAUUCGAACUCUUGUUGGUAAAUUGGCUACUAGAUCUACUUCAACCUUCACACAUGCACAACUUGGUCUCAUUUGAUUUUUAGUAUCCAUAUAAACCGUUAAAGGUUUACCUACUGCAGAGGCUAUUGAAAAAAUAGCUUCAUUUGCAAAUAAAUUGGGUGGUAGAUCUAGCAUUGAAAUCCAAGCUACUCCAAUGGUCGUUUCUACAUCAGGUUUGAACCAGGGAUCUAUAAUACCCCGUAUAUUUCUAAGCAAGGAAAUAAACCAUUAUUCCUACGUGUGAAACCACCUAUCCUGUGAUUCAUAUUUGAGUACAUGACUUACAAUGAGUAUCCUAGUGAGAAGAGAAGUUAUGAUGUGUUAAGCGUGUUUCAUAAGAGUCACUUAGAGUAAGGCAAGCUAAGAGCUUUCGAAUCCAUCAAGUUUUAGUGUUUGAUUUCGCAAGGGUCAUCUUUGAAUGAACAUAACUUGAUAUAUAUGUGGUAUUAUGGUAGGUUUAGACCCACCAUUUGUAUAGAAUCGAAUUAGCUUUCCAACAAUAUCAAUUUUACCAAAAUCCGACACCUAAGCAAGAAGUUAUGGCUUUGCAAAGUGGAGUACGCCGCCUAACAUAAGGUGUGCGACGCACAACCUAACUUAUGCCAUAAGGUGUGCGACGCACAACCUAAUGUGUGCUAUAAUGUGUGUGCCGCACAAUCUAGAUUAUGCGAUAAGGUUUACGCCGCAUAUCUUAUGGCCCAAGUGACGUAAACACUCCAUUUUUGGGUCAUUUUAAGGGCAAAAUGGUAUUUUUCACCCAUGUAUAAGCUCCUAAAAAUGGGUUUAGCCCCAAUUGAAGAAAAAUAUACUUCUAUUUCUCAAAAACUUUUCAAGAACAAGAUGGGUUCCAAUUGGGGGAUUCAAAUUCAAGAAGUUUCUCUGUUAAUCUUCGUAGGAUCACGAACUAAAGUAUGUAUUGUGUUGAUUUAUGGAUUUCUUUCAUCCAUAAAGCUCAAGAACCCUAUUUAAAUUAUGAAUCAUGUUAUUAUGUUGUGGGUUCUUCAAGUUUAUGUGAUGGUUGUUGUUUGAUUUCCAAGUUGGGAUCUUUAUGUGAAAUUAUGAAACUACGUUAGCAUAUAAAUUGAAUUUAUGAAUUUGGAGGUUUAUGAUUUGUAAAAUUUGAUGAUUUCACCUAUGCCUUAAGUUGUGCAUGUGAGGUGUUUGAUAAAAUGCCAAAAAGGGAUAUAAAUUAUGCCUUAGAGCUAAAUUAUGAUCCAAAUGAUAAAUGUAUGCUUUACCUUUAUUAUUAAAAUGACUUCUAUGAUAUUGUUGUGCAUUAUGAAUAUUUGAAGGAUUACUUAGGGGACUAGUUGAUGAAAUAUUGGUAUGUUGAUAUGUAUUCUGAUUCAUGUACAAUAUUAUGAUAAUCAUGUACUUUAUGAAAUCCUCAACUUAUUGUAUUAUGGAUUGCUGAUGUUGGUCAUGUAUUUAAGAAAGUCAUGCUUUGUCAGUUUCUUUCCAUCGAGUCCUGGGGGUACUUGUACUCGAAAGAUUAGAUGUAUGCUUAGAGACAUGUCAUGUUUUCAUGAUAUCUUCAAUCAAGCCAUGAUCCAUAGAAAUCAGUCAGUCAUGUGACUCAGAAAAGCUCAGUAAUUCAGUAACCUCAGUAAUCCCAUGAACUCAGACAGUUAUCAGAUAUCAGUAGUAUUUCGUCAGUCAUGAAAUUUAGUAAACCCAGUCGAUGUACAGUUCAGUUAAUCAUGUUCAGAGUCAAAUCAGAUGGGAGUAGGAAUUAGCCCCAAGUGAACCUAAGGAUAGGGACACACACAGUUAGAUGAGGGUGUGAUUCUUAAAAAUCAUCCUUGCAUUCCAGAACUAUGUAGCCAACAUAGGUUGAGACAUCAACAUUGUCCGAUGAGGGUUGAUAAAGUGGAUAAACACUGUCAGAUGAGGGUCCCUCUGUUCUCUUUUAGGGGACACUAUUGGAUGAGGGUCACCCACAGCUUGUCCUUACCGGUGGUGCGGUAUUGACACCCUUCCAAUUGGGGUUACAGAUUGAACCCCAACUCUGCCAUAAUGGCGUAUUAGGGGCAUAUCGGUUAGAUGACUACUUCCCACAGUUUCAUGUUAUAGAAUCAGGACUGUCAGAUACAGUCAUUCAGUCUCAGUAAUAAAACUCAGAUAGUUCUUCAGAUCUCAGGACUGUCAGAUACAGUCAAUUCAGAUACAGUAUGAAACUCAGCAAGUUCUAUCAGAUUCAGGACUAUCAGAUAUAGCCACUCAUAUUAUCAGUUAUAUCAGUUAUUAGAGCUCAGUCAGUAGUCAUGUUAGUUAUUAGUAAAUUCAUGUGAUCACGAUUUCAGAUAUAGUUACUAUAUAUACAUGUAUGUAUUCUCACAUUCAUAUUAGUCAGUUAGCCAGUAUUAUUCAUACAUAUAAACCCCAUGCAUUCAGCUUACCUCACAUGCAUACCAGUACAUUCAAAGUACUGACGUAUUUGCGCUAUGGUGUCUUAUACCAUAGGUUCAGAGAGACGAGUUCUAGAGCAUCAGUAGAUUCCAGUCUCAGUAUUCAGAGUUAGAAGUGAUUCCUCAUCUUUCAAGGACACGAUCAUCAUUUUAUUAUCUCAUUAGUUAAUUUAUUAGUUGGAGUUAGUUGGGGGCAUGUCCCAUCAACUUCUUAUUCAUACAAUCAUGUUUAGAGGCUUUUCAGACUACAGUAUGUUUAGAUAGCUUAUUUUAGUUUUGUUUUGGGUAUUUCAUACCCCAUCCAUAUGUUAUGAUUUAUCAGAUCUUAUGUUACAGUUUUGAACCUUAUGGCCUUUUAGUUCAUGUUUCUGCAUUAUAUAGUAUUUAUGUAGUAUACAGGUACAAAUAUCAAUCAUGGGUUAGCUUGUUGUCCUUUGGGGUCAUGAGCACCAUGUAACGUUCUGGGUACCAGAUUCGGGGCAUUACAAACUUGGUAUCAUAGCCUAAG
RNAcentral lists this long non-coding RNA (8603 nucleotides) under Capsicum annuum. RNAcentral describes it as "long non-coding RNA (CANN_LNC014897)". Lineage: Eukaryota; Viridiplantae; Streptophyta; Magnoliopsida; Solanales; Solanaceae. The record is from RNAcentral.